ACGAACGCUGGCGGCGUGCCUAACACAUGCAAGUCGAACGGACGAGGAGGAGCUUGCUUCUCCAAGUCAGUGGCGGACGGGUGAGUAACGCGUGAGUAACCUGCCCUUCAGAGGGGGAUAACGUCUGGAAACGGACGCUAAUACCGCAUGACAUAUUUCCAUCGCAUGGUGGAGAUAUCAAAGGAGCAAUCCGCUGAAGGAUGGACUCGCGUCCGAUUAGAUAGUUGGCGGGGUAACGGCCCACCAAGUCGACGAUCGGUAGCCGGACUGAGAGGUUGAACGGCCACAUUGGGACUGAGACACGGCCCAGACUCCUACGGGAGGCAGCAGUGGGGGAUAUUGCACAAUGGGCGAAAGCCUGAUGCAGCAACGCCGCGUGAGGGAAGACGGUUUUCGGAUUGUAAACCUCUGUUCUAAGUGACGAACAAAUGACGGUAGCUUAGGAGAAAGCCCCGGCUAACUACGUGCCAGCAGCCGCGGUAAUACGUAGGGGGCAAGCGUUGUCCGGAAUUACUGGGUGUAAAGGGAGCGCAGGCGGAGAAGCAAGUCAGUGGUGAAAACGAUGGGCUUAACUCAUCGACUGCCAUUGAAACUGUUUCCCUUGAGUGAAGUAGAGGCAGGCGGAAUUCCGAGUGUAGCGGUGAAAUGCGUAGAUAUUCGGAGGAACACCAGUGGCGAAGGCGGCCUGCUGGGCUUUAACUGACGCUGAGGCUCGAAAGUGUGGGGAGCAAACAGGAUUAGAUA
This 744-nucleotide ribosomal RNA is filed under the name uncultured Lachnospiraceae bacterium. RNAcentral describes it as "bacterial SSU rRNA". It matches the Rfam family "Bacterial small subunit ribosomal RNA", at positions 29 to 784 of the family's 1533-position model. Lineage: Bacteria; Bacillati; Bacillota; Clostridia; Lachnospirales; Lachnospiraceae. The record is from RNAcentral.